GGCGGGCGGCGGCGGCGUCGUCGAGCGACAAUACAAGCGCCUCGGACCGAGUCCCCGAACCUGCCCUAGCCAAAAUGGCGGCCGAGAAAGAGCGGAAGUGACGUUAAAGAGGCUUUUGUAUACUGGAGAUAUAAGCAAAAAAGGUCUAAGGUGACUUUACGCAGAGAUUGAAGGAUGAGCAGCAGAUGGUCAUCAAGGAGCAUGGAAACAGCAUUUCAGGCAAAGGAAAAUAGAACUCUGUGAACUCAGAAGCAUGCUUAUGGCAUGGAAAGCAAAAAGGAAAGAGCACAAGGCAGAGGUCAGAAAGGGAGGCAGGGGCCAACAAACACAUAGGGGCUUGAGGGACAAGGGAAGGAACUUCGAUUUUUCCCUAGAUGUUAGUGGGAACUCCCUGAACUCCCUGAACUGGAGGGACAAUAAUCUGAUUCUGGUUUUGUGUAUCUAGCUUAAACUCAGGACAGCUU
This 464-nucleotide non-coding RNA is filed under the name Pongo abelii (Sumatran orangutan). The record is from RNAcentral. Lineage: Eukaryota; Metazoa; Chordata; Mammalia; Primates; Hominidae.